This 468-nucleotide ribosomal RNA is filed under the name uncultured bacterium. Its description in RNAcentral is "partial 16S ribosomal RNA". It matches the Rfam family "Bacterial small subunit ribosomal RNA", at positions 28 to 507 of the family's 1533-position model. The record is from RNAcentral.
GACGAACGCUGGCGGCGUGCUUAACACAUGCAAGUCGAACGGAAAGGCCCUGCUUUUGUGGGGUGCUCGAGUGGCGAACGGGUGAGUAACACGUGAGUAACCUGCCCUUGACUUUGGGAUAACUCCAGGAAACUGGGGCUAAUACCGGAUAUGAGCUCCUGCUGCAUUGUGGGGGUUGGAAAGUUUCGGCGGUUGGGGAUGGACUCGCGGCUUAUCAGCUUGUUGGUGGGGUAGUGGCUCACCAAGGCUUCGACGGGUAGCCGGCCUGAGAGGGUGACCGGCCACAUUGGGACUGAGGUACGGCCCAGACUCCAACGGGGGGCAGCAGUGGGGAAUAUUGCACAAUGGGCGGAAGCAUGAUGCAGCGACGCCGCGUGCGGGAUGAAGGCCUUCGGGUUGUAAACCGCUUUCGCCUGUGACGAAGCGUGAGUGACGGUAAUGGGUAAAGAAGCACCGGCUAACUACGUG